CAGCCACAGCGGCACCCACUCCUGGGCUUCAAUGUCAGGGAUGCUUUCCUGAAGAGCUUCUUGGAAACUUGCCUCAGAAAGCAGCUCUAAAACAGCAACCCCCAACAAGUUAGAUCUGCAGACAAAAGCUCUUUACUAUCCAUGUCCCAGCUUACCAGAUCACCAACAGUUAACAACUGAUCCCUUACAAUGCAAGAUACACAACCAGCAAAAUCAACAUCAACACAAAUCUGAGAACCUCUAAGACCUGAAACAUCUAUAGUUCCAAGAAGUCAAUUUGUUGGAAUUUCUUAAAAUUCAGCAGGCAUAAAAUGUAGCCUCCCAGGCUUUACAAUUUGA
Peromyscus maniculatus bairdii (prairie deer mouse) is the source of this 339-nucleotide non-coding RNA. The record is from RefSeq and is a predicted model, not a curated record. Lineage: Eukaryota; Metazoa; Chordata; Mammalia; Rodentia; Cricetidae.